Long non-coding RNA from Sebastes umbrosus (honeycomb rockfish), 687 nucleotides. RefSeq lists it as uncharacterized. Lineage: Eukaryota; Metazoa; Chordata; Actinopteri; Perciformes; Sebastidae. The transcript has 3 exons. The record is from RefSeq and is a predicted model, not a curated record.
GACCUUGGCUCGCUUCACACCUCAGCCCCCGCUGCAUCAUGGUGAUGUGGACUAAAGAGGCAGACUGAUGGGGCGGAGAGACGAUCUGUCAACGAUUCUGGUCUCGUGCUGCUGUUUCGAUGAGCUGCACAGGUGACGGAGAGAAAGAGAGCUGGAGGAAGAAGACUGAAGACUUGUACUGUUCAGCUUGUACAGGAUGACUCAGCAGCAUUCAGCCCCCACGGGAACACAGGCUGCCUGUUAGCGCUCAGCUAAUAAGACGCCUGCUUGAGCCGAUGCGUCACCAUCCCACCUGAACACUGCAGAGAGAGAGAGAGAGAGAGAUAGGAGGAAGGAGGAGGGAGGCGGGAGGAGAGAGAUGCAGAUGUAGAUAUUAGAGAGAGGGAAGUGUCUUGAAGAUGAGUGCACCUGUCUCCCAGCACAAGCUGCUGCUCUCCUUCUCUCUUGUGAGUGUAUGCGCGGCACAAAGAAACACAGAUAUUUCCACAACCACUCACAGACUACAACUAUAUUGUACUGUAUUGUAUAUAUCAGACUGUUUUACGUGACUUUACAGAAGCAGGGAUCCAGGUAAAAGACAUGCAUCACAAGACAGAACGGUGAUAUUGGAAAACUGCAAAACCCUGAAACAAAAAAUAAGUGAAGCCUAUACAGCAGCAUCGCUCUCCUGGACCUGGAGCACGUCAU